GAGCCAAACUCUGUGGGACAAUGGCUGUCCAAGACCGGAGUUGCCCAUCCCUGUUGUAGUGUUUUACUACAUAUAUCUUGCUGCUUGAAGAACAAGUUACCCUCAAAGACAGAGAUGAGAUGGCCAGUGGUGGUGGAUUUCCCCGAAUCAACAUGGCCAAUGACCACAAUGUUGAUGUGG
Long non-coding RNA from Sinocyclocheilus anshuiensis, 180 nucleotides. RefSeq lists it as uncharacterized. The record is from RefSeq and is a predicted model, not a curated record. NCBI's taxonomy places the organism in Eukaryota, Metazoa, Chordata, Actinopteri, Cypriniformes, Cyprinidae. The transcript has 3 exons.